This 403-nucleotide ribosomal RNA is filed under the name uncultured bacterium. Its description in RNAcentral is "partial 16S ribosomal RNA". It matches the Rfam family "Bacterial small subunit ribosomal RNA", at positions 28 to 526 of the family's 1533-position model. The record is from RNAcentral.
GACGAACGCUGGCGGCGUGCCUAAUACAUGCAAGUCGAACGCAGUGGGGACGGGUGAGUAACACGUGGGUAACCUCCCAUCAGAGGGGAUAACACUUGGAAACAGGUGCUAAACCGAUACUGAUGGAUGAACCCGCGGUGCAUUAGCUAGUUGGUGGGGUAACGGCUCAACAAGGCCACGAUGCAUAGCCGACCGGCGAGGGUGAUCGGCCAAACGGGAACUGAGCAACGGCCCAGACCCCUACGGGAGGCAGCAGAAGGGAAUCUUCGGCAAUGGACGAAAGUCUGACCGAGCAACGCCGCGUGAGUGAAGAAGGUUUUCGGAUCGUAAAACUCUGUGGUUAGAGAAGCGGUAUCUAACCAGAAAGCCACGGCUAACUACGUGCCAGCCGCCGCGGUAAUUC